Molecule: ribosomal RNA, 253 nt
Filed under: uncultured bacterium
Lineage: Bacteria
Description: partial 16S ribosomal RNA
Rfam family: Bacterial small subunit ribosomal RNA
Source: RNAcentral
UACAGAGGGGGUCGGCGUUAUUCGGAAUUAUUGGGCGUAAAGGGCGCGUAGGCGGCCAUGCGUGUCUUCCGUGAAAUCCCUCGGCUUAACUGAGGACGUGCGGAAGAAACUGCAAGGCUCGAGUCCGGGAGAGGGGGGUGGAAUUCCCAGUGUAGCGGUGAAAUGCGUAGAUAUUGGGAGGAACACCGGUGGCGAAGGCGGCCCCCUGGACCGGUACUGACGCUGAGGCGCGAAAGCGUGGGUAGCAAACGGG